UACAGAGGGUGCAAGCGUUAAUCGGAAUUACUGGGCGUAAAGCGUGCGUAGACGGUCAUGUAAGUCGGGUGUGAAAGCCCCGGGCUCAACCUGGGAAUUGCAUUCGAGACUGCAUGGCUAGGAUGCGGAAGAGGGAAGCGGAAUUUCCGGUGUAGCGGUGAAAUGCGUAGAUAUCGGAAGGAACACCAGUGGCGAAAGCGGCUUCCUGGUCCAGCAUCGACGUUCAGGCACGAAAGCGUGGGGAGCAAAAGGG
Molecule: ribosomal RNA, 253 nt
Filed under: uncultured bacterium
Lineage: Bacteria
Description: partial 16S ribosomal RNA
Rfam family: Bacterial small subunit ribosomal RNA
Source: RNAcentral